AUUGAACGCUGGCGGCAGGCUUAACACACGCAAGUCGAGCGAUGAAAUCCCUUCGGGGAUGGAUUAGCGGCGGACGGGUGAGUAACACGUGGGUAACCUGCCUCAAAGUGGGGGAUAGCCUUCCGAAAGGAAGAUUAAUACCGCAUAAUAUCUAAUUGCCGCAUGGCAGAUGGAUUAAAGGAGCAAUUCGCUUUGAGAUGGACCCGCGGCGCAUUAGCUAGUUGGUGAGGUAACGGCUCACCAAGGCGACGAUGCGUAGCCGACCUGAGAGGGGGAUCGGCCACAUUGGGACUGAGACACGGCCCAGACGCCUCCGGGAGGCAGCAGUGGGGAAUAUUGCGCAAUGGAGGAAACUCUGACGCAGCAACGCCGCGUGAGUGAUGAAGGUCUUCGGAUUGUAAAGCUCUGUCUUCAGGGACGAUAAUGACGGUACCUGAGGAGGAAGGCGGUGAGGUUAAUAACCUCACCGAUUGAC
Molecule: ribosomal RNA, 475 nt
Filed under: uncultured bacterium
Lineage: Bacteria
Description: partial 16S ribosomal RNA
Rfam family: Bacterial small subunit ribosomal RNA
Source: RNAcentral